This 828-nucleotide ribosomal RNA is filed under the name uncultured Campylobacter sp. RNAcentral's name for it is "bacterial SSU rRNA". It matches the Rfam family "Bacterial small subunit ribosomal RNA", at positions 521 to 1347 of the family's 1533-position model. The record is from RNAcentral. Lineage: Bacteria; Pseudomonadati; Campylobacterota; Epsilonproteobacteria; Campylobacterales; Campylobacteraceae.
GUAUACGGAGGGUGCAAGCGUUACUCGGAAUCACUGGGCGUAAAGGGCGCGUAGGCGGAUUAUCAAGUCUCUUGUGAAAUCUAAUGGCUUAACCAUUAAACUGCUUGGGAAACUGAUAGUCUAGAGUGAGGGAGAGGCAGAUGGAAUUGGUGGUGUAGGGGUAAAAUCCGUAGAUAUCACCAAGAAUACCCAUUGCGAAGGCGAUCUGCUGGAACUCAACUGACGCUAAGGCGCGAAAGCGUGGGGAGCAAACAGGAUUAGAUACCCUGGUAGUCCACGCCCUAAACGAUGUACACUAGUUGUUGGGAUGCUAGUCAUCUCAGUAAUGCAGCUAACGCAUUAAGUGUACCGCCUGGGGAGUACGGUCGCAAGAUUAAAACUCAAAGGAAUAGACGGGGACCCGCACAAGCGGUGGAGCAUGUGGUUUAAUUCGAAGAUACGCGAAGAACCUUACCUGGGCUUGAUAUCCUAAGAACCUUUUAGAGAUAAGAGGGUGCUAGCUUGCUAGAACUUAGAGACAGGUGCUGCACGGCUGUCGUCAGCUCGUGUCGUGAGAUGUUGGGUUAAGUCCCGCAACGAGCGCAACCCACGUAUUUAGUUGCUAACGGUUCGGCCGAGCACUCUAAAUAGACUGCCUUCGUAAGGAGGAGGAAGGUGUGGACGACGUCAAGUCAUCAUGGCCCUUAUGCCCAGGGCGACACACGUGCUACAAUGGCAUAUACAAUGAGACGCAAUACCGCGAGGUGGAGCAAAUCUAUAAAAUAUGUCCCAGUUCGGAUUGUUCUCUGCAACUCGAGAGCAUGAAGCCGGAAUCGCUAGUAAUCGUAG